Molecule: ribosomal RNA, 557 nt
Filed under: uncultured fungus
Lineage: Eukaryota; Fungi
Description: eukaryotic LSU rRNA
Rfam family: 5.8S ribosomal RNA (bases 197-350)
Source: RNAcentral
CUCCGUAGGUGAACCUGCGGAGGGAUCAUUACACAAAUAUGAAGGCGGGCUGGAACCUCUCGGGGUUACAGCCUUGCUGAAUUAUUCACCCUUGUCUUUUGCGUACUUCUUGUUUCCUUGGUGGGUUCGCCCACCACUAGGACAAACAUAAACCUUUUGUAAUCGCAAUCAGCGUCAGUAACAAAUUAAUAAUUACAACUUUCAACAACGGAUCUCUUGGUUCUGGCAUCGAUGAAGAACGCAGCGAAAUGCGAUAAGUAGUGUGAAUUGCAGAAUUCAGUGAAUCAUCGAAUCUUUGAACGCACAUUGCGCCCUUUGGUAUUCCAAAGGGCAUGCCUGUUCGAGCGUCAUUUGUACCCUCAAGCUUUGCUUGGUGUUGGGCGUCUUGUCUCUAGCUUUGCUGGAGACUCGCCUUAAAGUAAUUGGCAGCCGGCCUACUGGUUUCGGAGCGCAGCACAAGUCGCACUCUCUAUCAGCAAAGGUCUAGCAUCCAUUAAGCCUUUUUUUCAACUUUUGACCUCGGAUCAGGUAGGGAUACCCGCUGAACUUAAGCAUAU